Molecule: long non-coding RNA, 3543 nt
Organism: Sapajus apella (tufted capuchin)
Lineage: Eukaryota; Metazoa; Chordata; Mammalia; Primates; Cebidae
Exons: 7
Source: RefSeq, a predicted model, not a curated record
GCCCGAGGAAACAUGGGUGAGGUUACUUUAAGGCUUGGAGACUUCCCAGCUAAAGGAAGUGGGCCAGGGAAGGGCUAGGUGCUCUGACAUUCCAAAUAUAGUCUGCUUGGCCACUGAGGGAGAGAGAUUUGUUGCUAGCAACAAGUACUUAGAACGUGUGUGAUUUGGCAUGUCUUGAACUGUGAAGUAGAUGCAAUGCAGGCAAAAAAUCGAUGAUGCUGUGGGGAGGGGCUGUGCAGGGUGUUAAUCGCCAUCUGCAGUGCCUGGAGGUGGGGUGGGGAGAAGUGAAGAAUCUCUUCCUUUUUAAUAGAUUUUCAAGAUGGGAAAAUCAUAUUGCAACCCGCAGGCGUUUGGAAACAAUUGUGCCGAAGGCAGAAAGUAUACCUAACGUUAAGCUGAAAAAACUGGACGCUCCCAGCAAACUCACUUUGCAGAUUCCUGGAUGUCAGAAGAAAACGCCAGAGGAUUUCACUUGGCUUUGACCCCUUACUACUUCCAGCCACUUACCCUGGGCAGUAGAACAAAGGAACAGACAGCAGAGUAGCUUAAGAGGAGGCUCUGUUACGAGUUCAAGGUGUGUGGCUCCUUCCUGUCUGAUAAGAACCAUCCCCCAGUCUUGAGACAAACAGGUAAGUCACUUUGGCAUCCACAGUCAGAUGUCACCUGGGGUCACAGUCGCCUGUAUGUGGUGGAAAGUUCUAAGCAGUUGCAGUUGCUUUUGUGAUAUGCCAGUUGACUUGAAGAGAGAAGUCCAAAACCCAACAGGAAGAUGGAAUGACUGGGAACGAGGGGAGAAAACGGAAAAGCACAGUGGUGCUCCCCUGUGAAUGCAGCAUCUGUCUCACCUCCACGCAGUCUAGCAGAGCAGAGGGCAUGCGAACCGAAAAAUGUAAGGUGAGGUGACAGGAACACCCCAAAGGACCACUGACUGACACUAACUCUGGGACCAAUGGCAGGGCCCAGAGCACUGACAAAUCAACGGUGACCACACAGCCUUCUGUACUUGUGUCUCAUGGAUUGUGUCGGUAGAGUUUCUCUUACAUUUAAACAUACCUGCUCUGUAUAUGACUGACCCUAAGGUGGUCUUGAACUCCCAGUCUCAAGCAAUCCUCCCACCUUGGCCUUUCCAAGUCCUGGGAUCAUGGGUGUGAGCCACGGCACUGGCCAUGGGCACAUUCCACAGUUUUCUUCUAAUUAUGUCAUCUUACCUCUUGGUGAAAUGGACCACUCUUUGAAAAGCACAAAACGUCCUGCCAGUGAAAAUCCUGAUUUGCCCCAAUUUCUUAUUUUCAUGGAACGAUGAUAUGCGCAAGGAAGAAUUAAGAAGUACCUAAUGUCUGCAAGUGAGUUAAAAAAGAGUACUUUGUCAGGAACACAGGGUUAUUUUAUUAGUUACCAGCUGUUACUUAGGGAUCAUAUGCCCUGUGUAUGCCUUUAAAAGAAUACUUUUUUUUUUUUUUUUUUUUUUUUUUUUGUCAGGGCAAGCAAUGCCCUGACAGCCUAGAGCUAUUUGGUACUGUCUUAGUCACUUGGGCUGCCAUAACAAAAUAUCACACACAGGGUGGCUUAAACGAAGAAUUUCAUUUUCUCACAGUUCUAGAGGCUGAGAAGUCCAAGAUCAAGGUGCCAGUCUGAUUCCUGGUGAGGGCUCUCUUUCUAAUUUGCAGACAGCUGGCUUCUCGCUGUGCCCUCACAUGGCCUUUCCUCUGAGUGUGCAUGAAAAGAGACAGGGAGAGACAUCUCUGGUGUCUUCCUCUGCUUGCAAGUCCACCAGUCCGAUUGGAUUGGGGGUCCCCCUCUGUGAUCCCACUUAACAUUAAUUACCUCCUAAAGGCCCCAUCUCCAAAUAUAGUCAUAUUGGGGGGUUAAGAGUUUAACGUAUGAAUCUGGUAGGGACACAGUUCAGUUCAUAGCAAGCCCAGACAAGUAUAGCUGACUCAGGCUUGGACCGCUCCUCAUACAAGCCCUUUUCUGUUUCUACACACCCAGGUUCAGGUGUGCCCAAGCAGCAGCUGUAUCUGUUUAUCAGAGGGCUGCCCUAGAUCCAGAAAUAUUUUGACAGUGCAAUAAUGAAGAUUGGCUUCCUUCUAGAAAUGACAGUCCUUAACCAGUGAAUGACAGUGUCUGAUAACUCUGGAAAGAGGCCUGUAGAUUGUCACUUGGGGAGUCCAGCAGAAAACCAAUCCUGCAACUCCAGAAAGCUGGACAGUGAGCCCACAUUUUCCUAUACUGGGAGCGGUCAGCUCUCUCCUUCCUCCUGGCCCUGGAAGCCUCAGGACUGACUCCUAUUGCUCUGCAGAGUGGGCUGUGUUGGACACAGUGCAAAGAGUAAAACCAAUGACUCAAAUGGGGAGAACUACAGUUACCCAAGCUUCUCCUGCCUUCUCUUUACAUAAACUUCAAGAGCGUCUAGUUUAGGAGAAGCAUCCACAUUUCAUUCAACAUGACACGCUCCCUAGGAAACUUUCCACAGUGCCCACAUCACUAGAGGCUGGACUUGCUAUGAUCACCACGGCUCUUGGGCCAACCCUGGAAACACUCUAAAGACACAAGCUUGGCAAGAAGCCUAAAGAGAAAUACCCAGAAGUCCUAUGGGUUAUUGCAUCUCAAUGCACACUUCUCAGACAAGGACUCGUGGGAAGGCAGACACGACGGGAAAGGAGGUCUCAGGAAAGCUCUCCGAGUCCCAAUUCCUAGUCGUAGCUCCCCCUGUUGAAGGUACUGAUGGACUUGGAAUGGUGGACUGGGACCUGGAAUUUCAUGUACGGUUCACUUUCUACAAAGGGUGCUUCCCAAGCUUUGUGAAGGAAAGGAGAAGCUAUGUGAGAAGGAAAUAUAUGGAAGUGGCGAGAGGAAAGGAGAGGCAGUCAGUAGCAAGGUACGCAUUGUCAUGUCAUGACUUGAUUCAAGUUUUGCUGGACAGGCGCUUUAGGGCCUUGUUUUUGCCCUCAGCCCACAGAUCCGAGGGCGGCCUAGUGAGGCACAGCCCCCCCACCCCCCACCACAGGAGUGUUUGUUUGGGUUGGAGGAGGAAGUGUUAAAUUCCAACCUCAGCACAAAUCUUGAAGACUGCCAAUCCAGAACCUGAGGACUCCAAGUUCCCAGGAGAUAGUGGAGCUGUGAGAUUUCUGGAGGCUGGAAAGUCCAAGAUGGAUGCACCAGCAUGUUAAUUGCUCAGUGAGGGUCUAGUCUCUGCUUCCAAGAUGGUGCCUUCAAUACUGCAACCUCUAGAGGGAAGAAGAGAUGUGUCCUCACAUGGUGGAUGGCAGAAGGGCAAAAAGGGAUGAACUUCUUCUAUCAAGACCUAUUAUAAGGACAUCUAAUCUCACUCAUGAGAGUGGAACCCUUAUGUCCUAAUCACCUCUUCAAGGCCCUACCUUUGAAUACUAUCACACUGGCAACACCUGAAUUUUGGUUGGAUACAUUCAAGCCAUAGCAGAGCUUUGAUCCUUGAGUUAUCUCAUUGAGAAAAGUUGUGUGCCCACCAGGAAUACUUGCAUCAGACUGUUCUGUGGAUGGGAAAUAAAAUUCUGCUGUGUUAAG